Molecule: ribosomal RNA, 460 nt
Filed under: uncultured bacterium
Lineage: Bacteria
Description: partial 16S ribosomal RNA
Rfam family: Bacterial small subunit ribosomal RNA
Source: RNAcentral
CCUACGGGGAGCAGCAGUGAGGAAUAUUGGUCAAUGGACGCAAGCCUGAACCAGCCAAGUCGCGUGCAGGAAGACGGCCCUACGAGUUGUAAACUUCUUUUGUAAGAGGGUAAACGGAGAUACGUGUGCCUGUUUGUAUGUAUUUUAUGAAUAAGGAUCGGCUAACUCCGUGCCAGCAGCCGCGGUAAUACGGAGGAUCCAAGCGUUAUCCGGAUUUAUUGGGUUUAAAGGGAGCGUAGACGGUUGGUUAAGUUAGUGGUGAAAGCCCGCGGCUCAACUUCGAAAUUGCAUUUGAUACUGGUAGGCUAGAGAAUAGUUGCGGUAGGCGGAAUGUAUGGUGUAGCGGUGAAAUGCUUAGAGAUCACGCAGAACACCGAUUGCGAAGGCAGCUUACCAAGCUGCUACUGACAUUGAGGCACGAAAGCGUGGGGAGCAAACAGGAUUAGAUACCCGAGUAGUC